This 2510-nucleotide long non-coding RNA is filed under the name Olea europaea subsp. europaea. Lineage: Eukaryota; Viridiplantae; Streptophyta; Magnoliopsida; Lamiales; Oleaceae. The record is from RNAcentral.
CGAUGGAAAAAAUCUUUCUCCUGCAAGAUGUCAAAACUAGACAUUAGCCAAACGGGAUAAUGGCCGCAAACGAAUCUUCACAGUCCCGGAAAAAGCCUUCAAACCCUCAGAAUAAUUGCAUAAGGUGGUGAAUUACAUCAAACGAUCUUCGUGUCAUAUACAAUUUUGCACCAAGAAAAUACCUAUGUCUGCUACUUCCCUUCUCUCUGCUGCAUCAAACCCCGUCUUCCCUUACAAUUCUACAAAAAAUUCAGCACAAUCUCUCUCUUUUCAUCAAUCUAAAGUUAGUUCCGCAAUCUUUUAUAGCCCUUUUAUCAAUGAUAAUAACGCAAAAGUUGAAAAAAUCAGCAGCAGCAGCAGCAGCAUUGUGUAUGAAAACGAGGAUUAUGCUGCAAAAGGUUCACGCUUUCCACAAUCUACUUCAGCCAUAAAAGCGCCCACUGCUCCGUGGAUGAAGGGUCCUCUUCUUGUCGAACCCGAUCGAAUUAUGAAACCUACCAAGUCAAGACCUAGAAAAGAUUCCACCUUAGACAAAAUUGAAGAACACCCUGAUAAGGCUUUGGCUGGUAAAGUGAGUGGUGGAAGAGGGCAAAAGGCCAUGAAGAAAAUCUUUCAAGGCAUUGAGAAACUCCAAGAAACCGAAAAUUUGGAGGAGACUCAGAAGGUCCCGGAAAAUGUUAAAUUCAGAUUUGCACCUGGUGACUUGUGGGGUAAUGCGGACUUUGAGAAUGUUGUAGAAGUUGAGGAAGAUUCAGAGGUGGGCCCAAAAAGUUUUGAAACUACUGAAUUAGAUAUUCCAUUUGGGGAGGUUGAAAAUGAAGGGAUAUUGAAGAAAAUGCCAUGGGAGAGAGAUGAGAAAAUGGUGAUUAGGAGGGUAAAAAGGGAUAAGCAGGUCACCACUGCCGAGUUGGUUCUUGAUGGAGUAUUGCUAAAAAGGUUGCGGGGUCAGGCUGCAAUAAUGAGAAAAUGGGUGAAGGUUAAGAAAGCUGGCGUGACUCAAGCUGUUGUUGAUCAAAUUCAUCUUGUCUGGAAGAACAAUGAACUUGCCUUAAUCAAAUUUGAUCUACCCUUGUGCCGAAAUAUGGAGAGAGCUCGAGAGAUCACUGAGGUUUAUGUCUGUUUACCUUUCCUUACCUUUUCUUUAUCCACUACCAGUCUAUGCUUCUAAAGUGUUCAGUGCUUCAUAUAAGUUGAUUGCUCCAUUUGCUUGAGACAGCAAAAGUAUAAAAUUGAAAAAAAUGACCACAGACGCAUAUUAUUCUUUUUAUCUUAAACUUUAUCGACAAAGUCAGCCCAUAAGUCUUCAGUCCUGGUAUUUUAGAAAACUUCAAGUUGUACCUUGUGUUCCUAGCUGCAUUUGUUAUGUACAAGGCACAAACUGAAUAAUUGAAUUGUUCCUCUGAUAUAACGACUUUUUCACUUAAAAAAGGCCUAUGCUUUUCUGUUUAUAUGAUUUAAGUCAUUUCCUAGAAUAGCACCAAAGUAGGGCAGGGUAUCCAUGACAACCAAAAUUUUUUUUGUUGCGGCUUUUACAAAACAGCUGGAUUUACUCCAAACAGCAACUGUACAUAUGACCUUGAAGAGUUAUGAAGUUAUAAUUUGUUCAUGUACGAUUUAUGCAGAUACUAGUUCUCAAAUCUUAUUCCAUAUGAGUUGUAGAUACUCUUCUGACCUUGUCUGUGAUCAAUUUUUAACAUGAUUGUUGCUUUGUUCUUCCCACUGUAACAUCCCAAUCCAGUUGGAAAGAUGGCCUUUCCAAAAGUGCAUCAAGUUUUCAGCAAUCCUCUUACCUUUAGAGCAUUUAGCGAGUGUAAAAAUAAUUUUAAUGAUGUCCAAAUAUGUUCUCCCUUAGUUGCUGUUAUCUUUGUUAUUUCCCUUUCAUCUUACCUUAACGUCCUUGUUCUUUCCUUAAAAUAUUUUUUUAGUUGUGGCCCUGAUAUUGUAGUAUUCCUCUAAUCAGAUGAAGACUGGAGGCCUUGUUGUAUGGAAUAAGGAAGAUUUUCUUGCUGUAUAUAGAGGUUGCAACUAUGUACCAUACUCAAGAAAUUAUUCGAAUAUCAGUCACAAGUCAGUUAGUGAUCAAGAAAAUCUAUCCUCAAAUAUGAGUUACCAAAAUACCUGUCAUUUCUCUCUAAUAACAUCAAGUGGAAGUAGUCAAUACAAAAUAAAUGAUGGGAUAGAAGGUGAUUGGGAAAACUUACAUAUCAAUAUAUCACUGUAUGAAAGAGAAGCAGAUAGAUUAUUGUACGGAUUAGGACCACGCUUCGUUGAUUGGUGGAUGCCAAAGCCUUUGCCGGUGGAUGCAGACUUGCUCCCAGAAGUUGCUCCUGGAUUCAAGCCAUCUUUUAGGCUUUGUCCACCUCGCACAAGAUCAAAACUGACAGAUGCUGAACUUACAUAUUUGAGGAAACUUACUCACCCUUUACCAACUCAUUUUGUCCUUGGUAUUUUCCUUUCCUUUGUCACUGCACUAUAACAAUAUCAACUGAACUAUUAGAAUUAUCUCUUCU